GAUUCUGGCUCAGGAUGAACGCUAGCGGCAGGCUUAACACAUGCAAGUCGAGGGGCAGCGGGAUGUAGCAAUACAUUGCCGGCGACCGGCGGAUGGGUGCGUAACGCGUAUGCAACCUACCUUAUACAGGGGAAUAACCUUUCGAAAGGGAGACUAACACCCCAUGGUAUUGAUUUAAGGCAUCUUAGAUUAAUUAAAUAUUUAUAGGUAUAAGAUGGGCAUGCGUAUGAUUAGCUAGUUGGUAAGGUAACGGCUUACCAAGGCGACGAUCAUUAGGGGUUCUGAGAGGAAGGUCCCCCACACUGGUACUGAGACACGGACCAGACUCCUACGGGAGGCAGCAGUGAGGAAUAUUGGUCAAUGGGCGCAAGCCUGAACCAGCCAUGUCGCGUGCAGGAAGACUGCCCUAUGGGUUGUAAACUGCUUUUAUAGUAGAAGAAACACAUCUACGCGUAGAUGUCUGCCAGUAUACUAUGAAUAAGCAUCGGCUAACUCCGUGCCAGCAGCCGC
Molecule: ribosomal RNA, 510 nt
Filed under: uncultured bacterium
Lineage: Bacteria
Description: bacterial SSU rRNA
Rfam family: Bacterial small subunit ribosomal RNA
Source: RNAcentral